This 468-nucleotide ribosomal RNA is filed under the name uncultured bacterium. Its description in RNAcentral is "partial 16S ribosomal RNA". It matches the Rfam family "Bacterial small subunit ribosomal RNA", at positions 28 to 507 of the family's 1533-position model. The record is from RNAcentral.
GACGAACGCUGGCGGCGUGCUUAACACAUGCAAGUCGAACGGAAAGGCACUGCUUUUGUGGGGUGCUCGAGUGGCGAACGGGUGAGUAACACGUGAGUAACCUGCCCUAGACUUUGGGAUAACUUCAGGAAACUGGGGCUAAUACCGGAUAGGAGCUGCUGCUGCAUGGUGGGGGUUGGAAAGUUUCGGCGGGUGGGGCUGGACUCGCGGGUUAUCAGCUUGUUGGUGGGGUAGUGGCUUACCAAGGCUGUGACGGGUAGCCGGCCUGAGAGGGUGACCGGCCACAUUGGGACUGAGAUACGGCCCAGACUGGAACGGGGGGCAGCAGGGGGGAAUAUUGCACAAUGGGCGGAAGCCUGAUGCAGAAACGCCGCGGGCGGGAUGACGGCCUUCGGGGUGUAAACCGCUUUCGCCUGUGACGAAGCGUGAGUGACGGUAAUGGGUAAAGAAGCACCGGCUAACUACGUG